Molecule: non-coding RNA, 641 nt
Organism: Myodes glareolus (Bank vole)
Lineage: Eukaryota; Metazoa; Chordata; Mammalia; Rodentia; Cricetidae
Source: RefSeq, a predicted model, not a curated record
GUGAAGGUCAAGCUGAGCUGGCGUCUCCCUGAUGCCACACUAUGUUUAAGAAGAGAGUUGAAUGCUAGAACUCAAGACAGACCAUGGUUCUCAUCUAGAUAGAUGGAACACAAGAUAGACGAAACACCUCUAAGAAGUGCAAGGGCAAAGAAGCAGAAAUGCACUGGUACUGGACUUGAGUUUGCCAAGGACUCAGAGUGCAGAACAUUGAGUACUUUUUAACUGAAGAAAUAAAUGAAAGAACAAAUUCUAAAAUACCACCAUGGAUUGGAAAUCUUAGAAUAUUUCAUUUUAUUUUAGACAUUCAACUAGUCAUUGUAACAGUGUCUCUAACGAGAACACAUUUAGCAUGUCCUAGGUAUUGCUUUCUUCCUUCAUCUGAAGCCACCAAAGUUCCUGACCAUCCAAGAACAUUUCGUUGAAAAGAAGCUUGCACUUAGGUGCAUCAAUGUAGCGUUGCCAGUUUUUUAAUAACAUGGAAAAUAUCGCAGUGAACCUCUCUGGGAUGGUGGAGGAUGGAAGUUUGCUGUGCUCCCAGAAGCACUGCUUCUGCACAGCCAGGUAGAAUUGAAGACAUAAGAACAAACUGAGAUUGGAUGCCUUAGUACCACCAAUGCAUUGCUGAGCGUGGUUAGCUUGUG